GGAGGGGGGCUAGCGUUGUUCGGAUUUACUGGGCGUAAAGGGCGCGUAGGCGGUAUGCCAUGUCAGGGGUGAAAGGCCUGGGCUCAACCCAGGAACUGCCUUUGAAACUGGCAAACUAGAGUCCGAUAGAGGGUGGCGGAAUUCCCAGUGUAGAGGUGAAAUUCGUAGAUAUUGGGAAGAACACCAGUGGCGAAGGCGGCCAUCUGGAUCGGCACUGACGCUGAGGCGCGAAAGCGUGGGGAGCAAACAGGGAUUAGAUACCCUGGUAGUCCACGCCGUAAACGAUGUGUGCUAGACGUUGGGGGGCCUUAGGCCCCUGGGUGUCGCAGCUAACGCAUUAAGCACACCGCCUGGGGAGUACGGCCGCAAGGUUA
This 374-nucleotide ribosomal RNA is filed under the name uncultured organism. Its description in RNAcentral is "partial 16S ribosomal RNA". It matches the Rfam family "Bacterial small subunit ribosomal RNA", at positions 526 to 896 of the family's 1533-position model. The record is from RNAcentral.